RNA transcript from Pezoporus flaviventris, 598 nucleotides. It is a transcript of the gene named BBSome interacting protein 1, with no coding region annotated. The record is from RefSeq and is a predicted model, not a curated record. Lineage: Eukaryota; Metazoa; Chordata; Aves; Psittaciformes; Psittacidae. The transcript has 3 exons.
GCAUGCGCUGGGGCCCCGUAGGCGGUCUGACCACGGGGUCGCCGCGCAGUGCAUGCCGGGAGCUGUAGUUCUGCCCGCCACAGCAGCGCGCAUGCGCAGAAGGAGCCGCCAUGCCGGAGGUGAAGGCUGCGUUCCAAGAGGUACUGCCCAAGCAAGGGCAGCUGUCGGUGGAGGACACGGCCUCCAUGGUGCUGUGCAAGCCCAAGGUGCUGCCGCUCAAGUCGGUGUCGCUGGAGAAGCUGGAGGCGCUGCGGCGGGCAGCGCUGGAGGCAGCGGCGCGGCAGGCUGAGCAGGCACCGCAGCCUCAGCCCCAGCCGUAGCCCAGGCGCCAGGGAGGGGGCCGGUGCCCUGAGGUGUCCGUGACUCGGAGCUCACAGUUUUUCACUGUCAACAACAUGGAUCGUUGUGACACCUGAAGCUUCCAUCUCAGUACUGCACUGAUCCCUACCAAGCAGAUUAGCAGAACAGAGAAGAAGCAGGCCUUCAUUCCCUGGAGGGCACACAGGCCUGCAACAGACUCAUUGGAGGCUUAUUUUCCUCAACUACUUAUCCCAUAACAGGAUAACCAUAACAUCUUAAUAAACUUUUUACCAGUCCA